AGAAUCAACGCUGGCGGCGUGCCUAACACAUGCAAGUCGCACGAGAAAGUGGAGCAAUCCAUGAGUAAAGUGGCGCACGGGUGAGUAACACGUGAAUGAUCUACCUCCGAGUGGGGAAUAACUGAGAGAAAUCUUAGCUAAUACCGCAUAAUACCCACGGGUCAAAGCAGCAAUGCGCUUGGAGAGGAGUUCGCGGCCGAUUAGUUAGUUGGCGGGGUAAUGGCCCACCAAGACGAUGAUCGGUA
RNAcentral lists this ribosomal RNA (245 nucleotides) under uncultured bacterium. Its description in RNAcentral is "partial small subunit ribosomal RNA". It matches the Rfam family "Bacterial small subunit ribosomal RNA", at positions 26 to 285 of the family's 1533-position model. The record is from RNAcentral.